Molecule: transfer RNA, 72 nt
Filed under: Streptococcus pneumoniae
Lineage: Bacteria; Bacillati; Bacillota; Bacilli; Lactobacillales; Streptococcaceae
Description: tRNA-Gly
Rfam family: tRNA
About the family: Transfer RNA (tRNA) molecules are approximately 80 nucleotides in length. Their secondary structure includes four short double-helical elements and three loops (D, anti-codon, and T loops).
Source: RNAcentral
UGCGGGUGUAGUUUAGUGGUAAAACUACAGCCUUCCAAGCUGUUGUCGCGAGUUCGAUUCUCGUCACCCGCU